Molecule: ribosomal RNA, 484 nt
Filed under: uncultured bacterium
Lineage: Bacteria
Description: bacterial SSU rRNA
Rfam family: Bacterial small subunit ribosomal RNA
Source: RNAcentral
GAUGAACGCUGGCGGCAUGCCUAACACAUGCAAGUCGAACGGCAGCACGGGGGCAACCCUGGUGGCGAGUGGCGGACGGGUGAGGAAUGCAUAGGAAUCUGCCCAGUUGUGGGGGAUAACGUAGGGAAACUUACGCUAAUACCGCAUACGACCUACGGGUGAAAGAGGGGGACCUUCGGGCCUCUCGCGAUUGGAUGAGCCUAUGCCGGAUUAGCUAGUUGGCGGGGUAAGAGCCCACCAAGGCGACGAUCCGUAGCUGGUCUGAGAGGAUGAUCAGCCACACUGGAACUGAGACACGGUCCAGACUCCUACGGGAGGCAGCAGUGGGGAAUAUUGGACAAUGGGCGCAAGCCUGAUCCAGCAAUGCCGCGUGUGUGAAGAAGGCCUUCGGGUUGUAAAGCACUUUUGUUUGGGAAGAAAUCCGGUUGGUUAAUACCUGAUCGGGAUGACGGUACCAAAAGAAUAAGCACCGGCUAACUUCGUG